RNAcentral lists this ribosomal RNA (435 nucleotides) under uncultured Methanosaeta sp. Its description in RNAcentral is "bacterial SSU rRNA". It matches the Rfam family "Archaeal small subunit ribosomal RNA", at positions 904 to 1338 of the family's 1478-position model. Lineage: Archaea; Methanobacteriati; Methanobacteriota; Methanomicrobia; Methanotrichales; Methanotrichaceae. The record is from RNAcentral.
AAUUGGAUUCAACGCCGGAAAUCUUACCGGGACCGACAGCAAUAUGAAGGCCAGGCUGAAGACUUUGCCGGAUUAGCUGAGAGGUGGUGCAUGGCCGUCGUCAGUUCGUACUGUGAAGCAUCCUGUUAAGUCAGGCAACGAGCGAGACCCACGCCCACAGUUGCCAGCGUACUCUCUGGAGUGACGGGUACACUGUGGGGACCGCCGCUGCUAAAGCGGAGGAAGGAAUGGGCAACGGUAGGUCAGUAUGCCCCGAAUAUCCCGGGCUACACGCGAGCUACAAUGGUUGGUACAAUGGGUAUCUACCCCGAAAGGGGACGGGAAUCUCCUAAAACCAAUCUUAGUUCGGAUUGAGGGCUGCAACUCGCCCUCAUGAAGCUGGAAUCCGUAGUAAUCGCGUUUCAACAGAACGCGGUGAAUACGUCCCUGCUCCUU